CCUACGGGAGGCAGCAGUGGGGAAUAUUGGACAAUGGGCGCAAGCCUGAUCCAGCAAUGCCGCGUGAGUGAUGAAGGCCUUAGGGUCGUAAAGCUCUUUUACCAGGGAUGAUAAUGACAGUACCUGGAGAAUAAGCUCCGGCUAACUCCGUGCCAGCAGCCGCGGUAAUACGGAGGGAGCUAGCGUUGUUCGGAAUUACUGGGCGUAAAGCGUACGUAGGCGGUUAUUCAAGUCAGAGGUGAAAGCCCGGGGCUCAACCCCGGAACGGCCUUUGAAACUAGGUAGCUAGAAUCUUGGAGAGGUCAGUGGAAUUCCGAGUGUAGAGGUGAAAUUCGUAGAUAUUCGGAAGAACACCAGUGGCGAAGGCGACUGACUGGACAAGUAUUGACGCUGAGGUACGAAAGCGUGGGGAGCAAACAGGAUUAGAUACCCUGGUAGUCCACGCCGUAAACGAUANAUAACUAGCUGUCGGCGACUUGUGUCGUGGGUGGCGGCAGCUAACGACAUUAAGUUAUACCGUCCGUCGGGUAGGUACGGUCGCGAAGAAUUAAAACGUUAAAAGGUAAAGUUAGACGGCGUGAGACGUGCCGACGGACGACGACGAGGGAGUAGG
Molecule: ribosomal RNA, 613 nt
Filed under: uncultured bacterium
Lineage: Bacteria
Description: bacterial SSU rRNA
Rfam family: Bacterial small subunit ribosomal RNA (bases 1-521)
Source: RNAcentral